This 636-nucleotide ribosomal RNA is filed under the name Priestia flexa. RNAcentral's name for it is "bacterial SSU rRNA". It matches the Rfam family "Bacterial small subunit ribosomal RNA", at positions 31 to 653 of the family's 1533-position model. Lineage: Bacteria; Bacillati; Bacillota; Bacilli; Caryophanales; Bacillaceae. The record is from RNAcentral.
GGAAGUGCGGCGAGCUAUAAUGCAAGUCGAGCGAACUGAUUAGAAGCUUGCUUCUAUGACGUUAGCGGCGGACGGGUGAGUAACACGUGGGCAACCUGCCUGUAAGACUGGGAUAACUCCGGGAAACCGGAGCUAAUACCGGAUAACAUUUUCUCUUGCAUAAGAGAAAAUUGAAAGAUGGUUUCGGCUAUCACUUACAGAUGGGCCCGCGGUGCAUUAGCUAGUUGGUGAGGUAACGGCUCACCAAGGCAACGAUGCAUAGCCGACCUGAGAGGGUGAUCGGCCACACUGGGACUGAGACACGGCCCAGACUCCUACGGGAGGCAGCAGUAGGGAAUCUUCCGCAAUGGACGAAAGUCUGACGGAGCAACGCCGCGUGAGUGAUGAAGGCUUUCGGGUCGUAAAACUCUGUUGUUAGGGAAGAACAAGUACAAGAGUAACUGCUUGUACCUUGACGGUACCUAACCAGAAAGCCACGGCUAACUACGUGCCAGCAGCCGCGGUAAUACGUAGGUGGCAAGCGUUAUCCGGAAUUAUUGGGCGUAAAGCGCGCGCAGGCGGUUUCUUAAGUCUGAUGUGAAAGCCCACGGCUCAACCGUGGAGGGUCAUUGGAAACUGGGGAACUUGAGUGCAGAA